CUGCCGACCGCAUCGCGGCAGUCCGCCACGCACCUUCGACACCACUAGUCGCCUACAGAAAAAAACAACUGUCACCGCGCGACGGAAAAGCGCGCGAAAACAUGCAAACUCUUUACGCGUAAAAAGUUUUUCGUGCCGCCAAUUUUCGCAACCACAGACCAAACAGUGACAUGUUCAGCAAUUUAAUGUGUAUUACAAGUAAUUUAUAGUGCUGUUGUGAUUCAAUUCAAAAGUGGUUCAAACGAUUUCAAAUGAACGGCAGUUUUGACCUCAAAUUUUAUGUAUGAUUUAUUCAAGUCCUUCGACAAACAUAUUUUUGCUCAUGGCAAUUAGAAUGGUGCUGUGUGGUGCAGUGGCGGGCGCGGGCGAAAUGGUCGGGAACGUAAGCCGCGUGCGUCGCUCGCCGCAGCCCUACCAUCACCGCGUGAUGACGGACGAGGAGCUGGACGCGACGGCGGCGUGGAAACGCUCGCACUGGCGCGAGAUGCAGAGCGUCCUCAGGACUGAGGGCGCCAAGAAGGACGUCGUGGAGUGCUGCCCCUCCAUCGGCGAGAUGGUCGCCAAGAAGGGCGGCAGAACCUUCAGCGGCCUCUACGUAGAACUGUACGAGGACGGCGAGAACAAGCAGAGGCUCUACGAGCUCUCUUGCGCUCCCGAAGUCGUCGACAAGCCCUGUCGCUUCGUCGACGCUCGGCUGUACAACCAGUCGAGGUGCGUUCAAAUAUACUCUUACUCGUACGCGUUAGUGCGGUACACGGCCGCCACCGAAAUGCCCCACCAAAAGACUAAAGGACACAUAUCAGUGCCAGGCUCCGGCGGGUGGUCGAUGGACUACGUGAAAGUGCGCGCAGGGUGCGAGUGCCAAAUUACCUCGAAGAGGAACCGAGCCCACAAGAAGAGGGAGCGGCAUCGGCAAAGGAGGAAAAAUAGGAAGCUAGAAGAAGAGGAAGAGACCUGACCACAGGCUCUAGUGCUAGUGAAAUCCAGUGGGACAUUGAACAAAUUUACGUGGAGUCUUCCCGAUUUAGUAUUACCAGACCGAUAGUUCUAGCGUCAGGUUUUUUAUUCAUAGCAACAUCUUUUUCUUAGUUACUUCGCUGUUAACUUCUAUACUAUGUGUAACAUUAUCAGAUGCUAGAUCGAUCAGGUCGCUACGCAUGUUACCGAUGUCAAGCGUGGACUUGUAGGUACUAUCGGUUGAUGUAUUUUACUGUAUUUAUUUUCAAAAAUUGUCUAUUUAAUUACGCUUCUUGUUUUAGUCUUGCGUAGUCGUACUCUUACGGAACUCCGAUACUUUACAGUGCCUCGUGAAACUUAGUGCCUUGGUAUUAUUAAUGUGAAAUCAAGUAUUUUAAAUACGUAAAGUAUGGUUAAUUAUUUAAUAUUUAUUUAAGUGUAUCCAGAUUGUAAUUGUAUAAAAUUGUAAACUGUUACUAGCAUCUGUAUAAGCUCAGUUUAUUAGGAUAAACUUGAUCUAAUUCAUAAUUCAUCACAAUUAAAACAUACCUAUUACCUACCAAGUCAAGAAAUAUUGUUACAAACAUUGUAUUGCAGUAACUGCAAUAGGUACACUGUAGUAAACUGCAAUGCACUUUACCAAUUUGCUUCUAGUGCAAGCUCCAUUAUCACUACAAAUGUUUAUUAGAUCUUGUUUUCAUACUACAACUUUCGUAACACAGUCCAGCAACAUACAGAAUGCUUAUUAAAACAAGCCUAAAAUACGUAUUUAUAAAUAGUUACCCAAAGUGAUCGAGGCGCAAAGCUACCAUCGACUUCACAGCGUUUCUCACUUCACCACGAUGUUUGUGUUAAGCUAGUUACAGACAGUGCUGUGUGUAAGAUUUUGUAUGAGAGAACUUACCACUGCACUUGCUGUUAAAAUAAUCGUAAAAUUUUGUGGUUAUCAUACUUGCCGCUUAUUGUU
Molecule: RNA transcript, 1924 nt
Organism: Ostrinia furnacalis (Asian corn borer)
Lineage: Eukaryota; Metazoa; Arthropoda; Insecta; Lepidoptera; Crambidae
Exons: 4
Source: RefSeq, a predicted model, not a curated record